This is a long non-coding RNA of Lycium ferocissimum, 408 nucleotides long. RefSeq lists it as uncharacterized. The transcript has 2 exons. The record is from RefSeq and is a predicted model, not a curated record. NCBI's taxonomy places the organism in Eukaryota, Viridiplantae, Streptophyta, Magnoliopsida, Solanales, Solanaceae.
GGGUUGCAACAUAAUUCUUCCCAAAGUGAUUCAAGCUAGGGUUUGGGUGUUCUUCAUUAGAAAAGUGAUUUGUUAAACCUUGUUUAACAAAUUAAGGUGACAAAGAAGAGCAGGUUCGUGAUACUUUCGACGCUUAAGAGAACUUGCUGCUGCUGUUGAUUUGGUGAGCCCACAUCCUUAUUCGUGGGACACUCCCGGUUUUAUUUAUUAUUCUAGAUUUCCGGGCUGCAUCCCCAAGUUAGACGAUUGUUGUGUCUCUUAGAAGCUCCAUAGAUAGUUGUCAGAAUUGUGGGUAGGUUGUUAAAGUCUCGUAUGACUUAAUGGGUGGUUGCCACGUUUGAGACUAUUUACUUAUAAAGAUUUCCGCUGAUUUAAUACCUGUAUUCAGGAUGUGUUACAUUUAGUUUA